AGGGUUUGAUCCUGGCUCAGAGUGAACGCUGGCGGUAGGCCUAACACAUGCAAGUCGAACGGCAGCACAGAGGAGCUUGCUCCUUGGGUGGCGAGUGGCGGACGGGUGAGGAAUACAUCGGAAUCUACUCUGUCGUGGGGGAUAACGUAGGGAAACUUACGCUAAUACCGCAUACGACCUACGGGUGAAAGCAGGGGAUCUUCGGACCUUGCGCGAUUGAAUGAGCCGAAGUCGGAAUCGCUAGUAAUCGCAGAUCAGCAUUGCUGCGGUGAAUACGUUCCCGGGCCUUGUACACACCGCCCGUCACACCAUGGGAGUUUGUUGCACCAGAAGCAGGUAGCUUAACCUUCGGGAGGGCGCUUGCCACGGUGUGGCCGAUGACUGGGGUGAAGUCGUAACAAGGUAGCCCG
RNAcentral lists this ribosomal RNA (410 nucleotides) under uncultured bacterium. Its description in RNAcentral is "bacterial SSU rRNA". It matches the Rfam family "Bacterial small subunit ribosomal RNA". The record is from RNAcentral.